AGUGAACGCUGGCGGUAGGCCUAACACAUGCAAGUCGAACGGCAGCACAGAGGAGCUUGCUCCUUGGGUGGCGAGUGGCGGACGGGUGAGGAAUACAUCGGAAUCUACUCUGUCGUGGGGGAUAACGUAGGGAAACUUACGCUAAUACCGCAUACGACCUACGGGUGAAAGCAGGGGAUCUUCGGACCUUGCGCGAUUGAAUGAGCCGAUGUCGGAUUAGCUAGUUGGCGGGGUAAAGGCCCACCAAGGCGACGAUCCAUAGCUGGUCUGAGAGGAUGAUCAGCCACACUGGAACUGAGACACGGUCCAGACUCCUACGGGAGGCAGCAGUGGGGAAUAUUGGACAAUGGGCGCAAGCCUGAUCCAGCCAUACCGCGUGGGUGAAGAAGGCCUUCGGGUUGUAAAGCCCUUUUGUUGGGAAAGAAAUCCAUCUGGUUAAUACCCGGGUGGGAUGACGGUACCCAAAGAAUAAGCACCGGCUAACUUCGUGCCAGCAGCCGCCGUAA
This 506-nucleotide ribosomal RNA is filed under the name uncultured bacterium. Its description in RNAcentral is "partial 16S ribosomal RNA". It matches the Rfam family "Bacterial small subunit ribosomal RNA", at positions 29 to 523 of the family's 1533-position model. The record is from RNAcentral.